UCCCAGGAGGAACUGUCGUCAGCCCUGUGG
RNAcentral lists this non-coding RNA (30 nucleotides) under Rattus norvegicus (Norway rat). Lineage: Eukaryota; Metazoa; Chordata; Mammalia; Rodentia; Muridae. The record is from RNAcentral.